UACGGGGGGAGCAAGCGUUGUUCGGAUUUACUGGGCGUAAAGGGCGCGUAGGCGGCCACCGCAAGUCGACUGUGAAAUCUCCGGGCUUAACCCGGAAAGGUCAGCCGAUACUGCGGGGCUAGAGUGCAGAAGGGGCAACUGGAGUUCUCGGUGUAGCGGUGAAAUGCGUAGAUAUCGAGAGGAACACCUGCGGCGAAGGCGGGUUGCUGGGCUGACACUGACGCUGAGGCGCGAAAGCUAGGGGAGCGAACGGG
RNAcentral lists this ribosomal RNA (254 nucleotides) under uncultured bacterium. RNAcentral describes it as "partial 16S ribosomal RNA". It matches the Rfam family "Bacterial small subunit ribosomal RNA", at positions 524 to 776 of the family's 1533-position model. The record is from RNAcentral.